Molecule: long non-coding RNA, 762 nt
Organism: Peromyscus leucopus (white-footed mouse)
Lineage: Eukaryota; Metazoa; Chordata; Mammalia; Rodentia; Cricetidae
Exons: 3
Source: RefSeq, a predicted model, not a curated record
UGGCCUGUAACAGGAAAAGCCUCUCUACUUUGAUGGAAACUGUCAAUGAGAAAGUUGUAGCUGGUGAGAUGAAUAUUCAAUACCUGAUGUUUCAUGGACCGGUGGAAUUCAGAAGAGGCUGUAGCAGUAAGAACUGUCAUCUCCAUUUGUACAGAGACUUCUUGGUUGUGACUAAUAGUUGGUUUUAGAUAACCUUCAAAAUAAAAUACAUCAUCCCGCUGACUGCCCUGUGGAUGGGGGAGUGUGUGGUCACCGACUUUGUAGGCCCUAGUCGGGCCAGGAAAUCCAUUCUCCUGCGAUGGCCCAUGGAGAAUUUUGUGGCCACCUUUCGUUCCUCUGCCCAAAAAAGAGAGUGGUAUACUUUACUUCAAAGGUAUCUUGUAACGGUACAUAUUUUACUUCUUUAAUUUGUUAGGAAAGAAUGAGAUUCUCUGCUAACCAACACCCUAAUCUGCUCACCUUUUUUGUUUUUAUGUCUUUACAAAUUUAUCUUCUCAACUCCUCUGAGAUCCACCCCCUUCUCUAUCAACAUAACACAGUGUCCUUUUUCACAAAAUACACUUUGAUCAUGUUUUCCCUCUCCUAGUUCCUCUUAGAUUCUUCCUACAUACCCACCUUUAGGUUCUUUUUCUCCCCUUCUGUCUUUCAAAACCUACAAAUCAGAAGAAAAAGAAACAAUCUCUCCACCCAAAAUAGUCACACACACCCCUCUUUAUAAACAAAAGGAUGUUAAGGAAAAAAUACCAAAACAAAGGAAGAUAA